CCUACGGGAGGCAGCAGUGGGGAAUAUUGCGCAAUGGGCGAAAGCCUGACGCAGCGACGCCGCGUGAGGGAUGAAGGUCUUCGGAUCGUAAACCUCUGUCAGCAGGGAAGAACGGUCACUGUGCUAAUCAGCAGUGAAUUGACGGUACCUGCACAGAAAGCACCGGCUAACUCCGUGCCAGCAGCCGCGGUAAUACGGAGGGUGCGAGCGUUAAUCGGAUUUACUGGGCGUAAAGCGCACGUAGGCGGUAUGUCAAGUCAAGGGUGAAAUCCCUGGGCUCAACGUGGGAACUGCAUUUGAAACUGGGAAACUGGAGUGGGUGAGAGGAGAGUGGAACUCCAGGUGUAGGAGUGAAAUGCGUAGAUAUAUGGAGGAACAUCAGUGGCGAAGGCGACUAUCUGGUACAUAACUGACGCUGAGGAGCGAAAGCGUGGGUAGCAAACAGGAUUAGAUACCCGAGUAGUC
Molecule: ribosomal RNA, 465 nt
Filed under: uncultured bacterium
Lineage: Bacteria
Description: partial 16S ribosomal RNA
Rfam family: Bacterial small subunit ribosomal RNA
Source: RNAcentral